CCAGGGAUGAGGGUUUCAAGAGAGAGAUCCAGGCAGCAGCGGCAUCACCUUUCAAUGACCUAACGUAACUCCUCCUUUUCAUGAGGACUGGCAAGGUCACAUUGUAAGAAGAGCAAGUGGGAUGGGAGAUGACACUGUCGCAUUUGAAAAUGCAAUUUGUCACAUCAGGUCAUGAGCAGGUCACCUCCUGGUCCAUCUGCAGAAGGGGCCCAGGGGAUUCAGUUCUGCCUUCUAGGAAGGCCAGUGUUGGGAUCUUAGAGCCCUGCUGGGAAAAAGGCCAGGGGAGAGUUGGGAACUUGGUCUUCACAAGCACUCCCAGCUUCCCCUCUCCGGGGUCAUUUACCAAGUGCUCAGAGGAAUUGGAACCAAGGGCAAUGGGGCCAGGAGCGUGACCAGGAACCCUAAAGUCUGCUCCCCUGGAGGGCUGAAAUCUCCGAGAAAGGCAGGGACUCAGCGCCCAGACGUAUGUUUCUCCUGCUGGCAUCUCUGCUUGGCUAACAUUCCUCCUCUUUCAUUUCUCCCUGGGGCAUGUUGUUGUCUUUCUCAUUAAUUUCCCCUCAACUCCCAGCAAGGUCCCUAGACUGUGAGCUUUGCUAAUUCCCUGUAAUCCACUGGCAAAGCAGGAAGCUAAUUAAAUUGUGAGCUGUGUGCUCACUCUGUCAGUCUCUGAAUCUCUCUUCUCAGUCCCUCUCCCAUCUGUCUCUUCCUUUCUCACUGCCCCUGGAUAGUUUACUUUCAUCUGGACACUUUCAGUAUCUUCUCACCCAUCUGCCUUCCUCUCCCCUCUUCUUUCUCCUGCUUUUCAAUCUGCAGAGUAAUCUUCUUAAAAUACAGCUUUGAGCACACCUUCUUCUCCUCUACUGUAAGGUAAAAGCUCCUUAGCUCAGCAGUUAAGCCCCACACUCCUUACCAUAACUUCCCAUCACAAACCCUUAUCCACAACCAAGCCUGGUACAUUUCCUUCCCUAAGCUCCACCUACGCCACCUCCUCACCUUGGUUCACAUUCUUAUCUUUGACUGGAUCCCACCCCCUCACUCCUCCAUCUCCACUUCCAUCUCACCCUGUCAAAAUCCUCACCAUUAUUUAGAAAGAGCCUCUUCAGGCCGGGCACGGUGGCUCACGCCUGUAAUCCCAACACUUUGGGAGGCCGAGGUGGGUGGAUCACGAGGUCAGGAGAUCGAGACCAUCCUGGCCAACACGGUGAAACUGUCUCUACUAAAAAUACAAAAAAACUAGCUGGGUGUGGUAGUGCACACCUGUA
RNAcentral lists this long non-coding RNA (1262 nucleotides) under Homo sapiens (human). RNAcentral's name for it is "HSALNT0175079". Lineage: Eukaryota; Metazoa; Chordata; Mammalia; Primates; Hominidae. The record is from RNAcentral.